RNAcentral lists this ribosomal RNA (441 nucleotides) under uncultured Pelagibacterales bacterium. Its description in RNAcentral is "bacterial SSU rRNA". It matches the Rfam family "Bacterial small subunit ribosomal RNA", at positions 1077 to 1533 of the family's 1533-position model. The record is from RNAcentral. Lineage: Bacteria; Pseudomonadati; Pseudomonadota; Alphaproteobacteria; Candidatus Pelagibacterales.
UGGGUAGUCCGCACGAGCGCACCUUACUUUUAGUUGCCACCAUUUAGUUGAGCACUCUAAAAGAACUGCCAGUGAUAAGCUGGAGGAAGGUGGGGAUGACGUCAAGUCCUCAUGGCCCUUACGUGUUGGGCUACACACGUGCUACAAUGGUACUUACAACGAGAUGCUAAGAGGCGACUCUAAGCCAAUCCCAAAAAAGUACCUCAGUUCGGAUUGCACUCUGCAACUCGAGUGCAUGAAGCUGGAAUUGCUAGUAAUCGCGGAUCAGCGCGCCGCGGUGAAUACGUUCCCGGGUCUUGUACACACCGCCCGUCACACCAUGGAAGUUGGUUACACCUUAAGGCAAAGUGUAAAACCUUUGACUACGGUACGAUCAGCGACUGGGGUGAAGUCGUAACAAGGUAGCCGUAGGGGAACCUGCGGCUGGAUCACCUCCUUUCU